AGUGGAUGGUGGGAAGCAAGAUGGCGGCCACGGCCAGCAUUCGGGAGAGGCAAACAGGUACUCGGUAUUUCCUUCUCUGCAGUGUGUGCCUCAGCAGCGGCCUGUCAUCAUCUCUGGGUUGUUCGUACAGCUCGGAGUUGAGCUUUGAGAGCUGCUCCGUUUUGAGGUUGUGGGGAAGAGAUGCCUGUAAGCUUCACAGCCUUUACCACAGGCUGCUUGCUACAGUGCUAGCUACUUAUUUUUUAAUUGCCGAGUUUUAGAAGGCCAUCAGGGCAAGGACCAGCAGCUGGUGUUUUCUUUCCUGUCUUGUCACUUAACGAGGUCUAUAGGUUUGUGUUCGUAUUUCAAGUCUCCCAGGUCGGUUUGGUUUUCACUUUCAGUUUUAGGGUUUUUUUUAAAAAAACCUGUUUUUGACACUUGAGCCAUGAUUACAAAAUCUAAGUAUUCUUUUCCGAGCACCUUACUUUAUGCCAUCAUCUUUGGACCCUUUGGGAGAAGCUGAUGGAAAAUGCCAGGUGAUAAAGCUGGAAGAGACUUCGGAAUGUCAAAUCAAAUUAACAGCGUCCUCUUUCAGUUGUUCCACAGAUAAUAAUCUUAAAAUAUAGAACAGUUGUAUCUUAAGUAGAGCAUAUUUGUACACCCAUUUAUAAAGUAAAAAUUUAAAGAUACAUAUUUCUUCCCUUGGUUUUAGUUUAGUUUUUUUUUUUUUUUUACAUGUGAGAUACACCUGAUUUUCCUUAUUUUCAGUAAACUCUAGAAACUUAAUGUAUGUAUAUUGGCCCCAGAAUAAUUACCUAUACGUAUAUCAUAUAUAAUGUGAUAUGUAUAAAUCAGAACUGACUUACAUAUACUACUUAUCUAGUAACUCCCAAAGAGAAUAGAAAUCGUCCAUAAGCGAUAAAGAACUUUAAUUCUCUUGAACCUAUGCUUAUUUGUAUGAAAAACAAUUGGUUACAAGCAAUACAACAUAGCAAUAGAAUUUGAACUGUGCCUGAUUCCUUCCCUUGUG
RNAcentral lists this long non-coding RNA (1009 nucleotides) under Mus musculus (house mouse). RNAcentral describes it as "long non-coding RNA chr12:51377579-51378588". Lineage: Eukaryota; Metazoa; Chordata; Mammalia; Rodentia; Muridae. The record is from RNAcentral.